RNAcentral lists this long non-coding RNA (252 nucleotides) under Elaeis guineensis (African oil palm). RNAcentral describes it as "long non-coding RNA (EGUI_LNC057646)". The record is from RNAcentral. Lineage: Eukaryota; Viridiplantae; Streptophyta; Magnoliopsida; Arecales; Arecaceae.
UAUUAAAAUUAUCAUUCAUCAUAUAACCAUCAUGAUGUACUUUCAGAUCAAUGCUCAAGUUGGCCAAGCCACACUCGGGUCUGAACAUUCAUUUGUUGGAUGCAUUUGGUGUUGUCAUGUCAAUGGUUAAACCUAAUCAAAAUUUUUUGUAGAGGCGACACACGCCUGCUGAAGGGAUGCUUGGGGCAAAAUCUAAUUGCUAGAAGUUAUUUAGAGAAAUAAUUGGUUAUGAACCUACCCAUGGAUGCACUA